UGGGGAAUAUUGGUCAAUGGGCGAAAGUAGAAGCAGCCACGUCGCGUGAAGGAAGAAUGUUCUAUGGAUUGUAAACUUCUUUUGUAGGGGAAUAAAAAAGAGUACGUGUACUCUAUUGUAUGUACUUUACCAAUAAGGAUCGGCUAACUCAAUGCCAGCACCCGCGGUAAUGAUAAAA
Molecule: ribosomal RNA, 178 nt
Filed under: uncultured Paludibacter sp.
Lineage: Bacteria; Pseudomonadati; Bacteroidota; Bacteroidia; Bacteroidales; Paludibacteraceae
Description: partial 16S ribosomal RNA
Rfam family: Bacterial small subunit ribosomal RNA
Source: RNAcentral